RNAcentral lists this ribosomal RNA (143 nucleotides) under Metazoa environmental sample. RNAcentral's name for it is "partial small subunit ribosomal RNA". It matches the Rfam family "Eukaryotic small subunit ribosomal RNA", at positions 1296 to 1460 of the family's 1831-position model. Lineage: Eukaryota; Metazoa. The record is from RNAcentral.
AGUUGGUGGAGCGAUUUGUCUGGUUAAUUCCGAUAACGAACGAGACUCUAGCCUAUUAAAUAGUUCGCCGAUAUCGAUUCGUCGGCGCUAACUUCUUAGAGGGACAAGUGGCGUUCAGCCACACGAGAUUGAGCAAUAACAGG